UACAUGAAGCUGGAAUCGCUAGUAAUCGCGGAUCAGAAUGCCGCGGUGAAUACGUUCCCGGGUCUUGUACACACCGCCCGUCACACCAUGGGAGUCGGAAAUGCCCGAAGCCGGUGACCUAACCUUUCAGGAAGGAGCCGUCGAAGGCAGGUCUGAUAACUGGGGUGAAGUCGUAACAAGGUAGC
RNAcentral lists this ribosomal RNA (185 nucleotides) under uncultured bacterium. RNAcentral describes it as "partial 16S ribosomal RNA". It matches the Rfam family "Bacterial small subunit ribosomal RNA", at positions 1317 to 1500 of the family's 1533-position model. The record is from RNAcentral.